GCGGCAGGCCUAACACAUGCAAGUCGAGCGGUAACACAGAGAGCUUGCUCUCGGGUGACAAGCGGCGGACGGGUGAGUAACGCGUAGGAAUCUACCUAAUAGUGGGGGAUAGCCCAGGGAAACUUGGAUUAAUACCGCAUACGCCCUAAGGGGGAAAGCGGGGGAUCUUCGGACCUCGUGCUAUUAGAUGAGCCUGCGUAAGAUUAGCUAGUUGGUGAGGUAAGAGCUCACCAAGGCGACGAUCUUUAGCUGGUCUGAGAGGAUGAUCAGCCACACUGGGACUGAGACACGGCCCAGACUCCUACGGGAGGCAGCAGUGGGGAAUAUUGGACAAUGGGGGCAACCCUGAUCCAGCCAUGCCGCGUGUGUGAAGAAGGCCUUCGGGUUGUAAAGCACUUUCAGAUGUGAGGAAAGGUUGCAGAUUAAUACUCUGUAGCUGUGACGUUAACAUCAGAAGAAGGACCGGCUAACUCCGUGCCAGCAGCCGCGGUAAUACGGAGGGUCCGAGCGUUAAUCGGAAUUACUGGGCGUA
RNAcentral lists this ribosomal RNA (532 nucleotides) under uncultured Gammaproteobacteria bacterium. RNAcentral's name for it is "bacterial SSU rRNA". It matches the Rfam family "Bacterial small subunit ribosomal RNA", at positions 39 to 562 of the family's 1533-position model. Lineage: Bacteria; Pseudomonadati; Pseudomonadota; Gammaproteobacteria. The record is from RNAcentral.